AUUGAACGCUGGCGGCAUGCCUUACACAUGCAAGUCGAACGGUAACAGGUUAAGCUGACGAGUGGCGAACGGGUGAGUAAUAUAUCGGAACGUGCCCAGUCGUGGGGGAUAACUGCUCGAAAGAGCAGCUAAUACCGCAUACGACCUGAGGGUGAAAGCGGGGGAUCGCAAGACCUCGCGCGAUUGGAGCGGCCGAUAUCAGAUUAGGUAGUUGGUGGGGUAAAAGCCUACCAAGCCAACGAUCUGUAGCUGGUCUGAGAGGACGACCAGCCACACUGGGACUGAGACACGGCCCAGACUCCUACGGGAGGCAGCAGUGGGGGAAUUUUGGACAAUGGGCGCAAGCCUGAUCCAGCCAUGCCGCGUGCGGGAA
RNAcentral lists this ribosomal RNA (373 nucleotides) under uncultured bacterium. RNAcentral's name for it is "bacterial SSU rRNA". It matches the Rfam family "Bacterial small subunit ribosomal RNA", at positions 30 to 409 of the family's 1533-position model. The record is from RNAcentral.